GGCUAGUCCAAAGGUAAUGAGUUAUCUUACUUGAUUGUUCACAGUUAUAGAUCAAACUCCUUGUUCUACUAAUUCCCCCCUUCUCACUAUCAUACUUGACCAGUCUUAA
This 109-nucleotide Y RNA is filed under the name Microcebus murinus (gray mouse lemur). RNAcentral describes it as "Y RNA (ENSMICG00000046884.1)". It matches the Rfam family "Y RNA". From Rfam's summary of the family: Y RNAs are components of the Ro ribonucleoprotein particle (Ro RNP), in association with Ro60 and La proteins. The record is from Rfam by way of RNAcentral. Lineage: Eukaryota; Metazoa; Chordata; Mammalia; Primates; Cheirogaleidae.